RNAcentral lists this ribosomal RNA (240 nucleotides) under uncultured Lactobacillus sp. RNAcentral's name for it is "partial 16S ribosomal RNA". It matches the Rfam family "Bacterial small subunit ribosomal RNA", at positions 122 to 354 of the family's 1533-position model. The record is from RNAcentral. Lineage: Bacteria; Bacillati; Bacillota; Bacilli; Lactobacillales; Lactobacillaceae.
UAACCUGCCCAAGAGAUCGGGAUAACACCUGGAAACAGAUGCUAAUACCGGAUAACAACAGAUGAUGCCUAUCAACUGUUUAAAAGAUGGUUCUGCCAUCACUCUUGGAUGGACCUGCGGUGCAUUAGCUAGUUGGUAGGGUAACGGCCUACCAAGGCGAUGAUGCAUAGCCGAGUUGAGAGACUGAUCGGCCACAUUGGGACUGAGACACGGCCCAAACUCCUACGGGAGGCAGCAGGG